This is a long non-coding RNA of Chinchilla lanigera (long-tailed chinchilla), 306 nucleotides long. RefSeq lists it as uncharacterized. The transcript has 3 exons. NCBI's taxonomy places the organism in Eukaryota, Metazoa, Chordata, Mammalia, Rodentia, Chinchillidae. The record is from RefSeq and is a predicted model, not a curated record.
UGGGGAACAGUCCCUGGAUUAUCUGGAGAUUCAUCACUUAGACUACAUCUCUGGACUCUCCUUGUUCUGAACUUACCGUCCUUUCCUGGUGAGGUGUGCUUCCUGUCCUGCUCUCCACCAUGGACCUCAAGGGCAAAGGGUCCCUCCUCCUGCUGGUCAUGUCAAGUCUGGUCCUGUGCCCAAAUGUGGCCUCUCAUCGGAUCUGUGAUGAUGAUUUGAGAUGCCAAGUAAACCUUCAUGAUCUGUAUAUUUCUGCAACCCAUUCGGCUCUGGCCAUGCAUUUCCAUGCUGCAACCUUAUUCCGGG